Molecule: ribosomal RNA, 949 nt
Filed under: Lysinibacillus sphaericus
Lineage: Bacteria; Bacillati; Bacillota; Bacilli; Caryophanales; Bacillaceae
Description: bacterial SSU rRNA
Rfam family: Bacterial small subunit ribosomal RNA
Source: RNAcentral
UAAUACAUGCAAGUCGAGCGAACAGACAAGGAGCUUGCUCCUCUGACGUUAGCGGCGGACGGGUGAGUAACACGUGGGCAACCUGCCCUGUAGACUGGGAUAACUUCGGGAAACCGGAGCUAAUACCGGAUAAUCCAUUUCACCUCAUGGUGAAAUGUUGAAAGGCGCUUUCGGGCGUCACUACAGGAUGGGCCCGCGGUGCAUUAGCUAGUUGGUGGGGUAACGGCCUACCAAGGCGACGAUGCAUAGCCGACCUGAGAGGGUGAUCGGCCACAUUGGGACUGAGACACGGCCCAAACUCCUACGGGAGGCAGCAGUAGGGAAUCUUCCACAAUGGACGAAAGUCUGAUGGAGCAACGCCGCGUGAGUGAUGAAGGUUUUCGGAUCGUAAAACUCUGUUGUAAGGGAAGAACAAGUACGUUAGGAAAUGAACGUACCUUGACGGUACCUUAUUAGAAAGCCACGGCUAACUACGUGCCAGCAGCCGCGGUAAUACGUAGGUGGCAAGCGUUGUCCGGAAUUAUUGGGCGUAAAGCGCGCGCAGGCGGUCCCUUAAGUCUGAUGUGAAAGCCCACGGCUCAACCGUGGAGGGUCAUUGGAAACUGGGAGACUUGAGUGCAGAAGAGGAAAGUGGAAUUCCAAGUGUAGCGGUGAAAUGCGUAGAGAUUUGGAGGAACACCAGUGGCGAAGGCGACUUUCUGGUCUGCAACUGACGCUGAGGCGCGAAAGCAUGGGGAGCAAACAGGAUUAGAUACCCUGGUAGUCCAUGCCGUAAACGAUGAGUGCUAAGUGUUAGGGGGUUUCCGCCCCUUAGUGCUGCAGCUAACGCAUUAAGCACUCCGCCUGGGGAGUACGACCGCAAGACUGAAACUCAAAGGAAUUGACGGGGGCCCGCACAAGCGGUGGAGCAUGUGGUUUAAUUCGAAGCAACGCGAAGAACCUUACCAGG